RNAcentral lists this ribosomal RNA (425 nucleotides) under uncultured bacterium. Its description in RNAcentral is "bacterial SSU rRNA". It matches the Rfam family "Bacterial small subunit ribosomal RNA", at positions 354 to 796 of the family's 1533-position model. The record is from RNAcentral.
GUGGGGAAUAUUGGACAAUGGGCGAAAGCCUGAUCCAGCAAUGCCGCGUGAGUGAAGAAGGCCUUCGGGUUGUAAAGCUCUUUUACCCGGGAAGAUAAUGACUGUACCGGGAGAAUAAGCCCCGGCUAACUCCGUGCCAGCAGCCGCGGUAAUACGGAGGGGGCUAGCGUUGUUCGGAAUUACUGGGCGUAAAGCGCACGUAGGCGGUCUUUUAAGUCAGAGGUGAAAGCCCGGGGCUCAACUCCGGAAUUGCCUUUGAAACUGGAAGACUUGAACACGGGAGAGGUGAGUGGAAUUCCGAGUGUAGAGGUGAAAUUCGUAGAUAUUCGGAGGAACACCAGUGGCGAAGGCGGCUCACUGGACCGUUGUUGACGCUGAGGUGCGAAAGCGUGGGGAGCAAACAGGAUUAGAAACCCUGGUAGUCC